AUGAGAUGAUCGAAGGAAAGCCACAUUUCACAGUAGGAUCCUGACAAGCAGAAUCCUAUAUUAUUCAUGAUUCAAACUGAUGUGAGAAACCUACCAGGCACAUUCAGUUUUGACAAUCAAACAAACUGAUCUAGGUACUGAUCCACGGUCGUGUAUUUGACGUCGGGGUAGAGCUCCGAAGCUUCCACUCCGAACGAAGGCUCAAUCUCGAAGUUGGUUUGGUCUCCUUUCACGAAAACAGAAUGGGAUAUGGC
Molecule: long non-coding RNA, 254 nt
Organism: Rhodamnia argentea
Lineage: Eukaryota; Viridiplantae; Streptophyta; Magnoliopsida; Myrtales; Myrtaceae
Exons: 2
Source: RefSeq, a predicted model, not a curated record